GGGUUGUGAGGUUAAGCGACCAAGCGUACACGGUGGAUGCCCUGGCAGUCAGAGGCGAUGAAGGACGUGCUAAUCUGCGAUAAGCGCCGGUAAGGUGAUAUGAACCGUUAUAACCGGCGAUUUCCGAAUGGGGAAACCCAGUGUGAUUCGUCACACUAUCAUUACGUGAAUACAUAGCGUAAUGAAGCGAACCGGGGGAACUGAAACAUCUAAGUACCCCGAGGAAAAGAAAUCAACCGAGAUUCCCCCAGUAGCGGCGAGCGAACGGGGAGGAGCCCAGAGCCUGAAUCAGCAUGUGUGUUAGUGGAAGCGUCUGGAAAGGCGCGCGAUACAGGGUGAC
Molecule: ribosomal RNA, 340 nt
Filed under: Salmonella enterica subsp. salamae
Lineage: Bacteria; Pseudomonadati; Pseudomonadota; Gammaproteobacteria; Enterobacterales; Enterobacteriaceae
Description: partial 23S ribosomal RNA
Rfam family: Bacterial large subunit ribosomal RNA
Source: RNAcentral